GACGAACGCUGGCGGCGUGCUUAACACAUGCAAGUCGAACGGAAAGGCCCUGCUUUUGUGGGGUGCUCGAUUGGCGAACGGGUGAGUAACACGUGAGUAACCUGCCCUUGACUUUGGGAUAACUUCAGGAAACUGGGGCUAAUACCGGAUAGGAGCUCCUGCUGCAUGGUGGUGGUUGGAAAGUUUCGGCGGUUGGGGAUGGACUCGCGGCUUAUCAGCUUGUUGGUGGGGUAGUGGCUUACCAAGGCUUUGACGGGUAGCCGGCCUGGGAGGGUGACCGGCGACAUGGGGACUGAGAUACGGCCCAGACUCCUACGGGAGGCAGCAGUGGGGAAUAUUGCACAAUGGGCGGAAGCCUGAUGCAGCAACGCCGCGUGCGGGAUGACGGCCUUCGGGUUGUAAACCGCUUUCGCCUGUGACGAAGCGUGAGUGACGGUAAUGGGUAAAGAAGCACCGGCUAACUACGUG
This 468-nucleotide ribosomal RNA is filed under the name uncultured bacterium. RNAcentral describes it as "partial 16S ribosomal RNA". It matches the Rfam family "Bacterial small subunit ribosomal RNA", at positions 28 to 507 of the family's 1533-position model. The record is from RNAcentral.